CUCUGGAAGAGCAGUCAGUGCUCUUAACCACUGGGUGUUGCAUGAAUCCUAAAUGGUCUUAUAAUAAAAUUUCGGAGCCAGAUAUUGGGGCAAAUGCUGAAAGAUCAAAGAAAACAAGCCACAGUCAUUUCUCACCUCGCCAGCUCCUCGGCCGAAAAGAGAAGAGCCUGUCUCCACGAAUCCUCAGACUGAAUGCCUCUGCGUCCUCAGCU
Peromyscus maniculatus bairdii (prairie deer mouse) is the source of this 212-nucleotide non-coding RNA. The record is from RefSeq and is a predicted model, not a curated record. NCBI's taxonomy places the organism in Eukaryota, Metazoa, Chordata, Mammalia, Rodentia, Cricetidae.